UGAAUAUUCAGUAAUUGGAAUAACUAACUUUAUCGGACACUCUAAAGAAAUCCGCGUGAACCCGAAAUCCGUGUAAAAAACGCGUGAAUUCCGAAAUCCGUGUUAAUUUUGAAAUCCGAGCAAAAAAACCUAGUGUAUUUCAUGGUUUCUAACUGGUUUACGGCGGUAUGUGCUUCGCCAAACUAGUACUACAGUGACCAGAGCUGGUCCGUGAGAGCCAGGUCUUAUAUGUUAUUGUCAAUUGACAACCUAACGGUGAUUUUUUUUGUUUUUAUCAUAUAUUUAGUGAAAAAGUGAUCAGUUCUAGUCCAUUUACGAGUAUUGAAUAUUUAGUUCGCUGUCCCAUUAAUUUUUUCCGCUAAACGACCGUAGCGCAUUUAACGUUCUCGUUACUGCACGCUUUAGGUAGAAGGAAAUGGAAAAUAAAGGGCGGAAAAGACCAACGAAAAUUUUCAUUCUACACUGUGUGGUGAUCACACUGUUUGCCUACUCUGUGCUGGCGGUGCUGGCACAGUCCACCUACUAUGUGACGGGCUUCACAUUCGGGCUCUGGUGGCCCUGCGUUAUUUUGUUCCUUGUGUUGCUGGUUUAUUUCAUAUUUAUUUACAGAGGUAUGAGUGAAGCACCUUUUCUUACCUUUUUGUGCAUGAUGAUACCUAUUGUAGCUGUUUACGAAAUUUGCGAAAGGAUAGCGAUUAAUGUUCGAAAAUUAUUCCUCAGAAAAUAAACAAAACUUUUUCUUUGAAUAUUAAAA
Wyeomyia smithii (pitcher-plant mosquito) is the source of this 754-nucleotide long non-coding RNA. RefSeq lists it as uncharacterized. Lineage: Eukaryota; Metazoa; Arthropoda; Insecta; Diptera; Culicidae. The transcript has 2 exons. The record is from RefSeq and is a predicted model, not a curated record.